AACGAACGCUGGCGGCGUGCCUAACACAUGCAAGUCGAACGAGAAAGGGGCUUCGGCUCCGAGUAAAGUGGCGCACGGGUGAGUAACACGUGGGUAACCUGCCUCUAAGAUUGGGAUAACUCGUCGAAAGAUGAGCUAAUACCGAAUAAGACCACAGUUCCCGCGGGAACAGGGGUCAAAGGUAGCCUCUGCUUGCAAGCUAUCACUUAGAGAUGGGCCUGCGCACCAUUAGCUAGUUGGUAGGGUAACGGCCUACCAAGGCAAAGAUGGUUAGCUGGUCUGAGAGGAUGAUCAGCCACACUGGAACUGAGACACGGUCCAGACUCCUACGGGAGGCAGCAGUGGGGAAUAUUGCGCAAUGGGCGAAAGCUUGACGCAGCAACGCCGCGUGAGUGAUGAAGGCCGUCGGGUCGUAAAGCUCUGUCGGGAGGAACGAAUGCUCCUGAGGUUAACAGCCUCGGGAGGUGACGGUACCUUCAAAGGAAGCACCGGCUAACUCUGUG
This 503-nucleotide ribosomal RNA is filed under the name uncultured bacterium. RNAcentral's name for it is "partial 16S ribosomal RNA". It matches the Rfam family "Bacterial small subunit ribosomal RNA", at positions 29 to 507 of the family's 1533-position model. The record is from RNAcentral.